CUCUCAGGCCUUGCACCCCAGCCGCGUGCCUCCCUCCCGCUGAAAGCGCAGGCCAAUCGCGUCUCGACCACUCGAGACCCACAGCCAAUGGGACUCCUGGAUCUGCUGAGGCCUGGAGUGCGCGAGCAAGGGGCUCAAUGGGAAAACAGGGACAGAGAGGAAUUUGAACUCAGGAGGUCUGGCUUCAUGAAACUGACCCCUAGAGUGGCGCCAUCCGAUAGAAGUUUCUGCGAUGAUGGAUAUGUUCUUUAUCUGCUCUGCCUGAUACACUAACCACCCAUGUGGCUACUGGUUGGAUAAGCUCAGCUGGGGAGAACUAAGUUUGAGUGCCAGCUACCUGCUGUGUGACGGUUGCUAAGUCUCUCACCUCUGUUAGUUCCUUUAUGGAAGAAGUGAUUAAAAAGAUUCCAACCAAAGCA
This is a long non-coding RNA of Phacochoerus africanus (Common warthog), 419 nucleotides long. RefSeq lists it as uncharacterized. Lineage: Eukaryota; Metazoa; Chordata; Mammalia; Artiodactyla; Suidae. The transcript is spliced from 2 exons. The record is from RefSeq and is a predicted model, not a curated record.